UCAUCUUCGUGGCUUUCAAUUUUUCUUCUCUGACAAAGAUUUUUCUUUUUGUUUAGUAAAGAGAUGCAACAAAUUAUUUCUCUCACAAAAAAUGAUUUGAGUUUGGAGUGUGCAAUGGCGAUAACGAUGGAGACAUCGAUAUAGACGACGACGUAGACGACAGCGAAAAUGGAGACAACAACACAGACAACAUCGAUGACGGAAACAGCGACAUAGAUGAAGAUGGAAACGUAAACCACAUCAAUAUAGAUGAAAAGCAAACCCCAAGGCAUCUUCUCCUUCUUGCUCUGCUGUGAUCCUUUUUUGAUUUCAUAUUCUGCAUGUGACAAAAGAUCUCUCCG
This 341-nucleotide long non-coding RNA is filed under the name Brassica napus (rape). RNAcentral's name for it is "long non-coding RNA (BNAP_LNC009234)". Lineage: Eukaryota; Viridiplantae; Streptophyta; Magnoliopsida; Brassicales; Brassicaceae. The record is from RNAcentral.